This 450-nucleotide ribosomal RNA is filed under the name uncultured bacterium. RNAcentral describes it as "bacterial SSU rRNA". It matches the Rfam family "Bacterial small subunit ribosomal RNA", at positions 355 to 793 of the family's 1533-position model. The record is from RNAcentral.
GGGGGAAUAUUGCACAAUGGGCGCAAGCCUGAUGCAGCCAUGCCGCGUGUAUGAAGAAGGCCUUCGGGUUGUAAAGUACUUUCAGCAGUGAGGAAGGUGGGUAUGGUUAAUAGCAUAUUCAUUUGACGUUAGCUGCAGAAGAAGCACCGGCUAACUCCGUGCCAGCAGCCGCGGUAAUACGGAGGGUGCGAGCGUUAAUCGGAAUUACUGGGCGUAAAGCGCAUGCAGGUGGUUUGUUAAGUCAGAUGUGAAAGACCCGGGGCUCAACCUCGGAAUUGCAUUUGAAACUGGCAAACUAGAGUACUGUAGAGGGGGGUAGGAAUUUCAGGUGUAGCGGUGAAAUGCGUAGAGAUCUGAAGGAAUACCGGUGGCGAAGGCGGCCCCCUCGGACAGAUACUGACACUCAGAUGCGAAAGCGUGGGGAGCAAACAGGAUUAGAUACCCUGGUAG